Molecule: long non-coding RNA, 584 nt
Organism: Cololabis saira (Pacific saury)
Lineage: Eukaryota; Metazoa; Chordata; Actinopteri; Beloniformes; Belonidae
Exons: 3
Source: RefSeq, a predicted model, not a curated record
AGUAUAUUUUUCAGUGAUCAAACACAUAUAAACACGUGCAAAAAACUCACAAGGUCAAAGUAAAACCAAUACUCAUGUUGCUGCUGCUGACUGACGGGAAACAGAUUGUUCUUGCCAGAUGCAGUUACCUGUUGAUCUCAGAGAGGAAGCUGAAGCUCUUGUUCCCUGCUUGAUGCUCGGAGCCCGUGGGCUUUGACCCCAGCGAUUCAGUUUGAACAAGAGGAUAUGUGGCCAUGACAACGGGAGCUGAAGCUUCACUGAAAGGGCCUGCCCCGGUCUUUGUGAUGCAGCCCACCCUGAACACGUAUGAGGCUCCUCUUGCCCAACCUGGAACCACUCGUGGCUCAAGCACUCAAAGGCAGAUGGUCGCCUCCUGUUCAGGAAAAUAAUGAAAUGUUAAGACAUCACAUCUGUGUGUACUUGAAAAAAACAUUGUGUCUUCUGUUUGUAAACACAACCACAGAUGGUGAGCAAACACUUCACUUUUCGAAUAACACAAGAAUUUUCCUUUCAUACUAACUGAGACAAGUGUCCUCAAACAAUCACCAACCAGUUCAAUAAGUUUUAUUCAGCUUUCAUCCUUU